GCCUGUGUAGCUCAGCGGUUAGAGCAAUUGCUUGAUAAGCGAUAGGUCAGUAGUUCGAAUCUACUCACCGGCACCA
RNAcentral lists this transfer RNA (76 nucleotides) under Pseudomonas fluorescens. Its description in RNAcentral is "tRNA-Ile". It matches the Rfam family "tRNA". From Rfam's summary of the family: Transfer RNA (tRNA) molecules are approximately 80 nucleotides in length. Their secondary structure includes four short double-helical elements and three loops (D, anti-codon, and T loops). RNAcentral also lists the same sequence under 3 other names. Lineage: Bacteria; Pseudomonadati; Pseudomonadota; Gammaproteobacteria; Pseudomonadales; Pseudomonadaceae. The record is from RNAcentral.